Molecule: ribosomal RNA, 253 nt
Filed under: uncultured bacterium
Lineage: Bacteria
Description: partial 16S ribosomal RNA
Rfam family: Bacterial small subunit ribosomal RNA
Source: RNAcentral
UACGUAGGGGGCUAGCGUUGUCCGGAAUCAUUGGGCGUAAAGAGCGUGUAGGCGGUCCGGUAAGUCCGCUGUGAAAGUCGGGGGCUCAACCCUCGAAUGCCGGUGGAUACUGUCGGGCUAGAGUGCGGAAGAGGCGAGUGGAAUUCCUGGUGUAGCGGUGAAAUGCGCAGAUAUCAGGAAGAACACCCGUGGCUAAGGCGGCUCUCUAGUACGUGACUGACGCUGAGACGCGAAAGCGUGGGGAGCGAACAGG